This 72-nucleotide transfer RNA is filed under the name Camelus bactrianus (Bactrian camel). It matches the Rfam family "tRNA". From Rfam's summary of the family: Transfer RNA (tRNA) molecules are approximately 80 nucleotides in length. RNAcentral also lists the same sequence under 2 other names. The record is from Rfam by way of RNAcentral. Lineage: Eukaryota; Metazoa; Chordata; Mammalia; Artiodactyla; Camelidae.
GGAGGUAUAGCUCAGUGGUAGAACACGUGCCUAGUAUGCACAAGGUCCUAGGUUUAAUCUCCAGUACCUCCA